GUCUACGGCCAUGCCACCCUGAACGAGCCCAAUCCUGUCUGAUCUUGGAAGCUAAGCAGGGUCGGGCCUGGUUAGUACUUGGAUGGGAGACCACCUAGGAAGACCAGGUGCUGUAGAUG
Molecule: ribosomal RNA, 119 nt
Filed under: Pteropus alecto (black flying fox)
Lineage: Eukaryota; Metazoa; Chordata; Mammalia; Chiroptera; Pteropodidae
Also listed under: 1 other name
Source: RNAcentral